AGAGUUUGAUCCUGGCUCAGAUUGAACGCUGGCGGCAUGCCUUACACAUGCAAGUCGAACGGCAGCACGGGGGCAACCCUGGUGGCGAGUGGCGAACGGGUGAGUAAUACAUCGGAACGUGUCCUGGAGUGGGGGAUAGCCCGGCGAAAGCCGGAUUAAUACCGCAUACGCUCUGAGGAGGAAAGCGGGGGACCUUCGGGCCUCGCGCUCAAGGGGCGGCCGAUGGCGGAUUAGCUAGUUGGUAGGGUAAAGGCCUACCAAGGCGACGAUCCGUAGCUGGUCUGAGAGGACGACCAGCCACACUGGGACUGAGACACGGCCCAGACUCCUACGGGAGGCAGCAGUGGGGAAUUUUGGACAAUGGGGGCAACCCUGAUCCAGCAAUGCCGCGUGUGUGAAGAAGGCCUUCGGGUUGUAAAGCACUUUUGUCCGGAAAGAAAUUCUGCCUGUUAAUACCGGGCGGGGAUGACGGUACCGGAAGAAUAAGCACCGGCUAACUACGUGCCAGCAGCCGCGGUAAUACGUAGGGUGCGAGCGUUAAUCGGAAUUACUGGGCGUAAAGCGUGCGCAGGCGGUUUGCUAAGACCGAUGUGAAAUCCCCGGGCUUAACCUGGGAACUGCAUUGGUGACUGGCAAGCUAGAGUAUGGCAGAGGGGGGUAGAAUUCCACGUAGCAGUGAAAUGCGUAGAGAUGUGGAGGAAUACCGAUGGCGAAGGCAGCCCCCUGGGCCAAUACUGACGCUCAUGCACGAAAGCGUGGGGAGCAAACAGGAUUAGAUACCCUAGUAGUCC
RNAcentral lists this ribosomal RNA (791 nucleotides) under uncultured bacterium. RNAcentral's name for it is "bacterial SSU rRNA". It matches the Rfam family "Bacterial small subunit ribosomal RNA", at positions 8 to 796 of the family's 1533-position model. The record is from RNAcentral.